UGGCGGCAGGCCUAACACAUGCAAGUCGAGCGGAAACGAGUUAUCUGAACCUUCGGGGAACGAUAACGGCGUCGAGCGGCGGACGGGUGAGUAAUGCCUAGGAAAUUGCCUUGAUGUGGGGGAUAACCAUUGGAAACGAUGGCUAAUACCGCAUAAUGCCUACGGGCCAAAGAGGGGGACCUUCGGGCCUCUCGCGUCAAGAUAUGCCUAGGUGGGAUUAGCUAGUUGGUGAGGUAAUGGCUCACCAAGGCGACGAUCCCUAGCUGGUCUGAGAGGAUGAUCAGCCACACUGGAACUGAGACACGGUCCAGACUCCUACGGGAGGCAGCAGUGGGGAAUAUUGCACAAUGGGCGAAAGCCUGAUGCAGCCAUGCCGCGUGUAUGAAGAAGGCCUUCGGGUUGUAAAGUACUUUCAGUUGUGAGGAAGGGGGUGUCGUUAAUAGCGGCAUCUCUUGACGUUAGCAACAGAAGCAGCACCGGUUAA
Molecule: ribosomal RNA, 484 nt
Filed under: Vibrio sp. AS-18
Lineage: Bacteria; Pseudomonadati; Pseudomonadota; Gammaproteobacteria; Vibrionales; Vibrionaceae
Description: bacterial SSU rRNA
Rfam family: Bacterial small subunit ribosomal RNA
Source: RNAcentral